Molecule: ribosomal RNA, 460 nt
Filed under: uncultured bacterium
Lineage: Bacteria
Description: bacterial SSU rRNA
Rfam family: Bacterial small subunit ribosomal RNA
Source: RNAcentral
AGAGUUUGAUCCUGGCUCAGGAUGAACGCUGGCGGCGUGCUUAACACAUGCAAGUCGAACGGUGAAAGGGAGCUUGCUCUCUGGAUCAGUGGCGAACGGGUGAGUAACACGUGAGCAAUCUGCCCCUGACUCUGGGAUAAGCGCUGGAAACGGCGUCUAAUACCGGAUACGAGCUGUGAAGGCAUCUUCAACAGCUGGAAAGAACUUCGGUCAGGGAUGAGCUCGCGGCCUAUCAGCUAGUUGGUGAGGUAAUGGCUCACCAAGGCGUCGACGGGUAGCCAGCCUGAGAGGGUGACCGGCCACACUGGGACUGAGACACGGCCCAGACUCCUACGGGAGGCAGCAGUGGGGAAUAUUGCACAAUGGGCGCAAGCCUGAUGCAGCAACGCCGCGUGAGGGACGACGGCCUUCGGGUUGUAAACCUCUUUUAGCAGGGAAGAAGCGAAAGUGACGGACCUCA